UACGGGGGGGGCUAGCGUUGUUCGGAAUUACUGGGCGUAAAGGGCUCGUAGGCGGCCAACUAAGUCAUACGUGAAAUCCCUCGGCUUAACCGGGGAACUGCGCCUGAUACUGGAUGGCUUGAGUUUGGGAGAGGGAUGCGGAAUUCCAGGUGUAGCGGUGAAAUGCGUAGAUAUCUGGAGGAACACCGGUGGCGAAGGCGGCAUCCUGGACCAACACUGACACUGAGGAGCGAAAGCCAGGGGAGCAAACGGG
This 253-nucleotide ribosomal RNA is filed under the name uncultured bacterium. Its description in RNAcentral is "partial 16S ribosomal RNA". It matches the Rfam family "Bacterial small subunit ribosomal RNA", at positions 524 to 776 of the family's 1533-position model. The record is from RNAcentral.